RNAcentral lists this ribosomal RNA (136 nucleotides) under uncultured soil bacterium. Its description in RNAcentral is "partial 16S ribosomal RNA". It matches the Rfam family "Bacterial small subunit ribosomal RNA", at positions 26 to 161 of the family's 1533-position model. The record is from RNAcentral.
AGAUUGAACGCUGGCGGCAGGCCUAACACAUGCAAGUCGAGCGGUAGAGAGGUGCUUGCAUCUCUUGAGAGCGGCGGACGGGUGAGUAAUGCCUAGGAAUCUGCCUAGUGGUGGGGGAUAACGUUCGGAAACGGAC